UGAGUGAAGAAGGCCUUCGGGUUGUAAAGCUCUUUUGUCAGGGAAGAAACGGCCCAGGCUAAUAUCCUGGGCUAAUGACGGUACCUGAAGAAUAAGCACCGGCUAACUACGUGCCAGCAGCCGCGGUAAUACGUAGGGUGCAAGCGCUAAUCGGAAUUACUGGGCGUAACGCGUGCGCAGGCGGUUUUGUAAGUCUGUCGUGAAAGCCCCGGGCUUAACCUGGGAAUUGCGAUGGAGACUGCAAGGCUUGAAUCUGGCAGAGGGGGGUAGAAUUCCACGUGUAGCAGUGAAAUGCGUAGAGAUGUGGAGGAACACCGAUGGCGAAGGCAGCCCCCUGGGUCAAGAUUGACGCUCAUGCACGAAAGCGUGGGGAGCAAACAGGAUUAGAUACCCUGGUAGUCCACGCCCUAAACGA
This 415-nucleotide ribosomal RNA is filed under the name uncultured bacterium. Its description in RNAcentral is "bacterial SSU rRNA". It matches the Rfam family "Bacterial small subunit ribosomal RNA", at positions 402 to 809 of the family's 1533-position model. The record is from RNAcentral.